This 253-nucleotide ribosomal RNA is filed under the name uncultured bacterium. RNAcentral's name for it is "partial 16S ribosomal RNA". It matches the Rfam family "Bacterial small subunit ribosomal RNA", at positions 524 to 776 of the family's 1533-position model. The record is from RNAcentral.
UACGAAGGGGGCUAGCGUUGUUCGGAAUUACUGGGCGUAAAGCGCACGUAGGCGGAUAUUUAAGUCAGGGGUGAAAUCCCGGGGCUCAACCCCGGAACGGCCUUUGAUACUGGGUAUCUUGAGUGUGGUAGAGGUGAGUGGAAUUGCGAGUGUAGAGGUGAAAUUCGUAGAUAUUCGCAGGAACACCAGUGGCGAAGGCGGCUCACUGGACCACAACUGACGCUGAGGUGCGAAAGCGUGGGGAGCAAACAGG